GGCCCCUUAGCUCAGCGGUUAGAGCAGCGGACUCAUAAUCCGUUGGUCGUAGGUUCAAAUCCUACAGGGGCCA
This 73-nucleotide transfer RNA is filed under the name Bacteroidales bacterium. RNAcentral describes it as "tRNA-Ile". It matches the Rfam family "tRNA". From Rfam's summary of the family: Transfer RNA (tRNA) molecules are approximately 80 nucleotides in length. Their secondary structure includes four short double-helical elements and three loops (D, anti-codon, and T loops). Lineage: Bacteria; Pseudomonadati; Bacteroidota; Bacteroidia; Bacteroidales. The record is from RNAcentral.